GCUGACCCCGCCCCCAGCCGCCGCCAUCUUGUUGUUUUCCCCGGUCCCUCCUGGCUGGCCACGUGGCGCGGCGCUGCGGAAGCGAAGGCACCGCCCCAACUUCCGGCAGGACUGGUUCCAGACGCCCGCGGGACGCAGACGCGCGGCUGCCCCCUGGUGGCUGGCCUCGGGGCUCCGGCCGCACCCUGCCCCGCCUUCCUCCGCCAUUUCAUUGCCUGCCCGCCGCACGUCCGCGCCCCGCUGCCAGCGUUGGCGCAGCCGCGCGCUCCGAGGGCGGGGCUGUUCCGCACACCACGUCAGGUAUUGUGCCAGGAAGUUUAUAACACUACCUACUUGUUACACGAGCAAAGGGAGUGUAAGCUGCUUUCCCAUGGUCACCAGCUAAGGAGGAGACCUGAAUUCAACACCAGAAGACCUAAUGAAUGUCUACCAUGGCCAGUUGAGAGAUCUCAGACUGCCACAGGCCUGACUGGUUGUAUUUUGGAGAUGUCUGUAGCUGGACUGCCUAGGUCUGUGCAUGUGUAACCCGUGGUGGAGGCCUCUCAUUACCCUGCCAGGGUUGGGAUACCUGUCUCCUCUCCGUCUGGCCUUCUGGCUGGCUCCCUCUAAUCUAGUUUCCAAGUGGAAGCCAGAGCCCGCCUAAUAACAAGAUAGGAGGUCUGUGUGCUGCAUAAAUCUUUAGUUGCUCUUGCUUCUUACAGAAUAAAAUCUGUUCUUUAGCAGGGUAUGUGGG
RNAcentral lists this long non-coding RNA (733 nucleotides) under Saimiri boliviensis boliviensis (Bolivian squirrel monkey). Its description in RNAcentral is "lncRNA (ENSSBOG00000036640.1)". The record is from RNAcentral. Lineage: Eukaryota; Metazoa; Chordata; Mammalia; Primates; Cebidae.